This 356-nucleotide unclassified non-coding RNA is filed under the name Hevea brasiliensis (rubber tree). The record is from RNAcentral. Lineage: Eukaryota; Viridiplantae; Streptophyta; Magnoliopsida; Malpighiales; Euphorbiaceae.
GCAAGGCAUACAAUAUAAGUGGAUCAUAUAAAUCAUGGUUACAAUAAAGAUUUCCAGCUAAAAAUCAAACCCAAUUCAGUACAGGAAUAUCUAAGCCCACAAAUCUGUAAACCCUAUCUAGCGAAGAAUCUGGCCCAGAAUUCAACCCGGUAGAAGGCACCCUUGUAUCACUGUAACGUAGAGGAGAAGAUUACAAAGCCAACGUUUUCAGAAAACCACGGUAUGAACUACCACCGAGGAGCAUGAAACUAACUGGAGCAUUAAGGAGACCCAAUAGUAGAAUGCUUGUUAAGAAAGUCUCCCCAAAAGACAACUUAGGUUUUGUAAUAGAACUAAAAACCCUUCAACAAACUGAA